Molecule: ribosomal RNA, 253 nt
Filed under: uncultured bacterium
Lineage: Bacteria
Description: partial 16S ribosomal RNA
Rfam family: Bacterial small subunit ribosomal RNA
Source: RNAcentral
UACAGAGGUCUCAAGCGUUGUUCGGAUUCAUUGGGCGUAAAGGGUGCGUAGGCGGCGCGGUAAGUCGGGGGUGAAAUCUCGGAGCUUAACCCCGAAACUGCAUUCGAUACUGCCGUGCUUGAGGACUGGAGAGGAGACUGGAAUUUACGGUGUAGCGGUGAAAUGCGUAGAUAUCGUAAGGAAGACCAGUGGCGAAGGCGGGUCUCUGGACAGUUCCUGACGCUGAGGCACGAAGGUCAGGGGAGCAAACGGG